GAUAGCUCAGAUGCUAGAGCAUGAGACUCUUAAUCUCAGGGUCAUGGGUUCAAGUCCCAGGUAGCA
Molecule: non-coding RNA, 66 nt
Organism: Podarcis lilfordi (Lilford's wall lizard)
Lineage: Eukaryota; Metazoa; Chordata; Lepidosauria; Squamata; Lacertidae
Source: the annotation of a GenBank genome assembly